UCCUACGGGAGGCAGCAGUGGGGAAUAUUGCACAAUGGGGGGAACCCUGAUGCAGCCAUGCCGCGUGUGUGAAGAAGGCCUUCGGGUUGUAAAGCACUUUCAGCGAGGAGGAAGGUAGUGUAGUUAAUACCUGCAUUAUUUGACGUUACUCGCAGAAGAAGCACCGGCUAACUCCGUGCCAGCAGCCGCGGUAAUACGGAGGGUGCGAGCGUAGUUCGGAAUUACUGGGCUUAAAGAGUUCGUAGGUGGUUAAAAAAGUUGAUGGUGAAAUCCCAAGGCUCAACCUUGGAACUGCCAUCAAAACUUUUUAGCUAGAGUAUGAUAGAGGAAAGCGGAAUUUCUAGUGUAGAGGUGAAAUUCGUAGAUAUUAGAAAGAACACCAAAAGCGAAGGCAGCUUUCUGGAUCAUUACUGACACUGAGGAACGAAAGCAUGGGUAGCGAAGAGGAUUAGAUACCCUCGUAGUCCAUGCCGUAAACGAUGUGUGCUAGACGUUGGAAACUUAGUUUUCAGUGUCGCAGCGAAAGCAUUAAGCACGCCGCCUGGGGAGUACGACCGCAAGGUUAAAACUCAAAUGAAUUGACGG
RNAcentral lists this ribosomal RNA (585 nucleotides) under uncultured bacterium. RNAcentral's name for it is "bacterial SSU rRNA". It matches the Rfam family "Bacterial small subunit ribosomal RNA", at positions 337 to 916 of the family's 1533-position model. The record is from RNAcentral.